AGGGUGAGAAGGGGACGGCGGGGCCGAGACGAGAACGGGCGAUGGGUCACCAGCCCUGUCCGUGAUUGCAAACCCUUGGUCGCUUUGAAACUGUCCCGCUUCAGACAGAGCCUUUUCCCUUCCCGGCCUGAGCCCCGCACCCUACCCCACUCGGACCCGAGCCUUCAGCCCAAACAGCCAGUGCUGACCCGUCCCCUUCCUCUUCUCCACCCGUGACCCGAGCCCAGCCCUUACCCUCACCCCUUCACCACUGGUCUUGCCAGCUGGAGGGCUUAAACACCGGCCUGUUGUCGUGCAUAGCCAGGUGCAGGAUCGGAGUCAGGCCUUAGAGACGAGGCUGUCGCGGAUGGCAGGGAAGUCUCUAAGAAGAAGAGGUUGCUGUUUACUGAUGAACGGAGUGUUUCGAAAGUGGUGAAGCCAGGUUAUCCAUUUCUUCUUUUAAUGUGUCAUGUGAUUCUCCGAGGGAGCUGCAGUGUGAGCGGAAAUGCUCUCGGUGGUGGAGAAUGGACUGGACCCCCGGGCUGCCAUCCCGGUAGGCAGUCGGAGAGGCUCAAGGGUGGGGAAGGGGGCACGGGACAGCCAUGUCAUUGGUUUUCCUCACUUUGAAAUGAAUGAGUACUGUCUGGAAAGCAAGGCCUCGGGUGAGAAAGAGUUAUAGCAGAAGCAGGCUCUGAGGAGAUCCUGCCCUUUCUAGAACAUCUUAUUGGUGAUAGAAUGGGAAUUGAUAAAAAACAACGGAUUUUAAUACGGGCUGCCUGAAGACCAAGGAUUUCUCAAAGGAAGUCAUACAUAUGGGGCGCCUGGGUGGUUCACACGGUUAAGCGUCAUGAUCGUAAGCGGCUCAUGGUCUUGCAGUUUGUGAGGUCAAGCCCUGCAUUGGGCUCUCUGCUGUCAGAGCAGAGCCUGCUUUGGAUCCUCGGUCCGCUCUGUCUCUGCCCCCUCCCCCACAGGCACAUACAUGUAUGCACAUUCUCUCUCUCUCUCUCUCAAAACUAAGU
This is a long non-coding RNA of Neofelis nebulosa (Clouded leopard), 998 nucleotides long. RefSeq lists it as uncharacterized. NCBI's taxonomy places the organism in Eukaryota, Metazoa, Chordata, Mammalia, Carnivora, Felidae. The record is from RefSeq and is a predicted model, not a curated record. The transcript is spliced from 3 exons.